GAUGCUCGAUUAGAAGAGCUUUUAAUUGAUGGAAUCCUUUAUGCCUUCCAAGAGCAGACCAGUGACGAUGCCAAUGUGAUGCUUAACGGAUUUGGUGCUGUUGUAAAUGCACUUGGUCAAAGAGUUAAACCAUACCUUCCUCAGAUUUGUGGUACCAUAAAAUGGCGACUGAACAACAAGAGUGCAAAGGUGAGACAGCAAGCUGCAGAUCAUAUCAUAGAGUUAAACCAUACCUUCCUCAGAUUUGUGGUACCAUAAAAUGGCGACUGAACAACAAGAGUGCAAAGGUGAGACAGCAAGCUGCAGAUCUGAUAUCCAGAAUUGCAGUGGUUAUGAAGCAGUGUGGGGAAGAGCAACUAAUGGGCCAUCUUGGUGUUGUCUUGUACGAGUACUUGGGAGAAGAAUACCCAGAAGUUCUAGGAUCUAUACUGGGGGCUCUGAAGGCUAUUGUGAAUGUUAUUGGUAUGACCAAGAUGACACCUCCAAUUAAGGACUUGCUUCCUCGCUUGACCCCAAUUUUGAAGAAUCGUCACGAGAAAGUUCAGGAGAACUGUAUUGACCUUGUUGGUCGAAUUGCAGAUCGUGGAGCUGAAUUUGUUCC
RNAcentral lists this long non-coding RNA (601 nucleotides) under Nicotiana benthamiana. RNAcentral describes it as "long non-coding RNA (NBEN_LNC029029)". The record is from RNAcentral. Lineage: Eukaryota; Viridiplantae; Streptophyta; Magnoliopsida; Solanales; Solanaceae.